GUUGUGUGUGCUGGCGAUCGUCUCGCUUGUCGCCGCUUUGUAAAAGCUUUAUAAAAGUCCUUUUUUUAAAACAAA
This 75-nucleotide non-coding RNA is filed under the name Pessonella sp. PRA-29. Lineage: Eukaryota; Discosea; Flabellinia; Vannellidae. The record is from RNAcentral.